RNAcentral lists this ribosomal RNA (301 nucleotides) under uncultured bacterium. RNAcentral describes it as "partial 16S ribosomal RNA". It matches the Rfam family "Bacterial small subunit ribosomal RNA", at positions 509 to 807 of the family's 1533-position model. The record is from RNAcentral.
CAGCCGCCGCGGUAAUACGUAGGUGGCGAGCGUUGUCCGGAUUUAUUGGGCGUAAAGGGCUCGCAGGCGGUUUCUUAAGUCUGAUGUGAAAGCCCCCGGCUCAACCGGGGAGGGUCAUUGGAAACUGGGAAACUUGAGUGCAGAAGAGGAGAGUGGAAUUCCACGUGUAGCGGUGAAAUGCGUAGAGAUGUGGAGGAACACCAGUGGCGAAGGCGACUCUCUGGUCUGUAACUGACGCUGAGGAGCGAAAGCGUGGGGAGCGAACAGGAUUAGAUACCCCGGUAGUCCCUGUCUCUUAUAC